UUUUUUUGUUUUAUUUAAAAAAAUAUAUAUCCCUUGCCAUGUGUCGAUUUUUGUGAGGAUGUGGUUGGGAUUUCAAAAGGAGAGGAAAGUUGCUUGCAAGAGGUGCAUCGUCCCAUGUUUUCCACAACAUGUGUUGGUUUCAUUUAAUUUGUUUGUUUUUAUUAUUAUUAUUAUUCACUUUUUAUUUUAUUAUUUUAUUUUAAUUAGGAUUUAAGUGAGUUUUGAUUGGGCUAUAAAGUCCAUGGUAUUUUGCAACCCCAUAUUCAU
Molecule: long non-coding RNA, 267 nt
Filed under: Lathyrus oleraceus (garden pea)
Lineage: Eukaryota; Viridiplantae; Streptophyta; Magnoliopsida; Fabales; Fabaceae
Description: Pisum sativum (pea) long non-coding RNA (PSAT_LNC003659)
Source: RNAcentral